ACAGGAGCAGCUUCCAAGCCGAGUUCCUGGCGGGCACUGUCCCCCAACAGCAAGCUGGAACAAAGGCCGCAUGACUGAGUGCGCCCGUGCCUGUCAGGGCGCGGGGAAGAAAUCAGAGCUCCACAGCCAGCCUAGCCUGGAGGGAAAGGCAAGCCGAGGCCUUGCUCCUGUAACUGCCAAACUGUCCCCCCUCACGGCGGCCUGCCUUUUCCCAUGUUGGCCCGGGGUCUUCGUCCUCUUGGCCUGGAUUCAAAAGGGCAGUACAAGAAGUGGAAUCCUAAGAAAGGUCUCCCUGAGCUCCAGCCUAUGGAAUGAAACCAUGACAUCUGUUUAUCAGUACCUUGGUUUUCAAGUUCAAAAAAUUUACCCUGUCGCCCUAACCGGUUUGGCUCAGUGGAUAGAGUGUUGGCCUGCGGACUCAAGGGUCCC
Molecule: long non-coding RNA, 429 nt
Organism: Myotis myotis
Lineage: Eukaryota; Metazoa; Chordata; Mammalia; Chiroptera; Vespertilionidae
Exons: 3
Source: RefSeq, a predicted model, not a curated record